Molecule: unclassified non-coding RNA, 433 nt
Filed under: soil metagenome
Description: partial contains 5.8S ribosomal RNA, internal transcribed spacer 2, and large subunit ribosomal RNA
Rfam family: 5.8S ribosomal RNA (bases 1-120)
Source: RNAcentral
GAUGAAGAACGUAGCGAAAUGCGAUACGUAAUGUGAAUUGCAGAAUUCAGUGAACCAUCGAAUCUUUGAACGCAUAUUGCGCUCUCUGGUAUUCCGGAGAGCAUGCUUGUUUGAGUAUCAGUAAACACCUCAACUUCCAUAUCUUUUUUGAAAUGGGAGUUGGACUUGAGUGAUCCCAACGCUUUUCCUCACCGAAAAGUGGCGGGUUACUUGAAAUGCAGGUGCAGCUGGACUUUUCUCUGAGCUAUAAGCAUAUCUAUUUAGUCUGCCUAAAAAACAGAUUAUUACCUUUGCUGCAGCUAACAUAAAGGAGAUUAGUUCUUGUGCUGACUGAUGCAGGAUUCACAAAGACAGGCUUCGGCCGACUUUGUAAACUCGAUCUCAAAUCAAGUAAGACUACCCGCUGAACUUAAGCAUAUCAAUAAGCGGAGGA